This 399-nucleotide unclassified non-coding RNA is filed under the name fungal sp. RNAcentral's name for it is "partial internal transcribed spacer region". The stretch from base 1 to 46 matches the Rfam family "Eukaryotic small subunit ribosomal RNA", at positions 1786 to 1831 of the family's 1831-position model. The record is from RNAcentral. Lineage: Eukaryota; Fungi.
AAGUCGUAACAAGGUUUCCGUAGGUGAACCUGCGGAAGGAUCAUUAACACGUAUCCAAACGUUAAACCCCCCCCGUGAACCUUCAUCGUGCUCUAGUAUUCCUGGUAAAUCAUUGUCUGAACAAGCCUUUGAGUCAGGAACCUCUGUGCAGUGCGAGCUACACCCACUAUAGAAGCGCUAGUUCCAUCGGCAUUGUUUCCCCAAGCAGCCAGUGCGUGAAAGUGGCAACUGACUGUGCAAGGAUAACGCUUAACGAUUUUGCAGCCGCAACACGCGGGCAGAGCUUUGCCAAAGGGUCCCCAUGCCCCUUCCUUCUGCCGAUUUCACAUACAAAGCUCCAUUUUCAAUUAUGGAUGGGGUAAAACCGAACAACUGUUAACAAUGGAUAUCUUGGUUCUC